GACGAACGCUGGCGGCGUGCUUAACACAUGCAAGUCGAACGGUAAGGCCUUUCGGGGUACACGAGUGGCGAACGGGUGAGUAACACGUGGGUGAUCUGCCCUGCACUUCGGGAUAAGCCCGGGAAACUGGGUCUAAUACCGGAUAGGACUGCGCGGUGCAUGCCGUGUGGUGGAAAGAUUUAUCGGUGCAGGAUGGGCCCGCGGCCUAUCAGCUUGUUGGUGGGGUAAUGGCCUACCAAGGCGACGACGGGUAGCCGGCCUGAGAGGGCGACCGGCCACACUGGCACUGAGACACGGCCCAGACUCCUCCGGGAGGCAGCAGUCGAGAAUAUUCCACAAUGGGCUCAAGCCUGAUGCACCGACGCCGCGUGAGGAAUGACGGCCUUCGGGUUGUAAACCUCUUUCAGCAGGGACGAAGCGUGAGUGACGGUACCUGCAGAAGAAGCACCGGCCAACUACGUG
Molecule: ribosomal RNA, 462 nt
Filed under: uncultured bacterium
Lineage: Bacteria
Description: partial 16S ribosomal RNA
Rfam family: Bacterial small subunit ribosomal RNA
Source: RNAcentral